GGGGGAUAACGUUUCGAAAGAGACGCUAAUACCGCAUGAGACCACGGACGCUUCGGCGACUGCGGUCAAAGCUGGCCUCUUCAUGAAAGCCAGCACCCAAGGACGAGCCUGCGGCCCAUCAUGCUAGUUGGUAGGGUAAUGGCCUACCAAGGCGAAGACGGGUAGCUGGUCUGAGAGGAUGAUCAGCCACACUGGCACUGAAACACGGGCCAG
Molecule: ribosomal RNA, 213 nt
Filed under: uncultured bacterium
Lineage: Bacteria
Description: partial 16S ribosomal RNA
Rfam family: Bacterial small subunit ribosomal RNA
Source: RNAcentral